This 253-nucleotide ribosomal RNA is filed under the name uncultured bacterium. Its description in RNAcentral is "partial 16S ribosomal RNA". It matches the Rfam family "Bacterial small subunit ribosomal RNA", at positions 524 to 776 of the family's 1533-position model. The record is from RNAcentral.
GACGAACCGUGCAAACGUUGUUCGGAAUCACUGGGCGUAAAGAGCGUGUAGGCGGCCAGGUAGGUCUGCUGUGAAAACUCGAGGCUUAACCUCGAGCUGUCGGCGGAAACCAUCUGGCUAGAGUCCGGAAGAGGAGAAUGGAAUUCCCGGUGUAGCGGUGAAAUGCGCAGAUAUCGGGAAGAACACCCGUGGCGAAGGCGGUUCUCUGGGACGGUACUGACGCUGAGACGCGAAAGCGUGGGGAGCGAACAGG